GAUGAAAAACACCCAACAACCUUCAACCACCCCCCCGUCCACUCGAGCCAGGUUUCGCAAAGCACUACCAAUUCACCAAACCAGACCACAUCAUAAAUGUUUGUUUAUUAGCAUCACAAACAAAAUUCCAGCUGCAUAUUCACUUCCCAGUGAACCCACCCACCCGCCUUCAAUUCCUCCCCCCCAGCACUGAAGAAAGUGAUUUUUAUGAAAAAAAAAUUCAAGGCACAAGUUGAAAACUUGGGUGUCUGUGCAGAGCACAGAAUCAGGAGAGAGGAAGAGGGAAAGAUUCCCUGUGUAUUUAUCAAAGUUGGGAGCUUUUUGAAUAUUUAUUUCAAUAAGAUUCAGGAGGCAGAGAGAAAGAUUCCCUGUUUUGAUACCCUAGUUGGGAGCUUUUGGAAUAUUAUUCAAAAAAGAUUCAAUCUUUUUGUGGGUGCUAGACUUGGAAACGAAGAAGAGCAAAGCAACCCCUCAUUUCUCUGCCUGGCAGAAGAGAAAGAGGGAAAGGAGGAAGACUUAUGGGGAUUCUACACGACGACGUUGUGCUUCUAAGGCAAUCAGAGAAGGAAGGAGAGCCAAGUGUGAUCACUGUGAACUGCCCAGACAAGACUGGCUUGGGCUCUGAUCUUUGUCGCAUCAUUCUCUUCUUUGGCCUCACUGUAGUCAGAAUUGAUGUAUCCACGGAUGGGAAAUGGUGCUACCUAGUGUUUUGGGUGAUUGGCAAACCAAACACAAGAUGGAGUUUGCUGAAGAAGAGACUGAUUGGAGUGUGCCCUUCAUGUUCUUCAGCCUCUGGGAUUUCGUAUUACCGGGCUGAGUUGCAGUCUCCAAGACCUCCCGACGUGUUCCUCUUGAAAUUCUGUUGUUAUGACCGACGAGGCCUUUUACAUGAUGUGACAGCAGUCCUUUACGAACUCGAGCUUAUCAUAGAGAAAGUGAAGAUAUCCACUACUCCAGACGGGAAAGUCAUGGACCUGUUCUUCAUAACAGACACAAGGGAACUAAUGCAUACGAAGAAGAGACAGGAGGAUACAUACGAUAAUUUAAAAUCCGUUCUUGGGGACGCUAUGAUUAGCUGUGAAAUAGAAAUGGUUGGCCCUGAAGUCACUGUGUGUUCUCAAGGCCCGUCAUUCCUUCCCCCUGAAAUAACGGAGGACAUGUUUGACAGUGAGGUGGUUGACGAACAUCGAGGUGGAUCUCCCGCUUGUAAGAAAGCAUCUAUUGCAGUGGAUAACUUGCUGAGUCCUAGUCACACACUAAUCCAGAUUGUUUGCCAAGAUCACAAAGGUUUUCUCUAUGAUAUAAUGAGAACACUGAAGGAUUAUAACAUCCAGAUAUCUUAUGGCCGCUUCACAAUGAAAAGUAAAAUGGACUGUGAACUCGACUUAUUCAUCAUGCAAGCAGAUGGCAAGAAAAUCGUUGAUCCCAACAAAUUAAACGCCCUGUGCUCUCGUAUCCAGAUGGAACUACGUCGUCCUCUAAGAGUAGCACUGGUGAACCGAGGCCCAGAUACAGAACUACUUGUUGCAAACCCCGUGGAGUUGUCUGGCAAGGGUCGUCCCCUCGUCUUUCAUGACAUUACCCUGGCUCUCAAAAUGCUCAGCGUUGGCGUCUUUUCGGCUGAAAUUGGUAGAUACAUGGUGGGGGACCGGGAAUGGGAAAUAUACAGAGUUCUACUCGACGAAGGGAAUGGCUUGCCUGUACCAAAAACGAAGAUUCAAGAAGCUGUUUGGAAGAUGCUGAUGGGCUGGGAGUGAUGAAUGGCGAGGCGACAGAGUGAUGCACCUACCAAUCCCGAGGGUCACCUACAACUUGUGUACAGUGCCAGGGUGAUAAAAUGCCAUGAAGGGUUGAUCUCAUGCAUACAACUUUCCAGUUUUCAGUCAAGAAUCUCUUUGUAUGAAUGUGGAGAUCGAGCAUAUUGUGGAUUGAACUGAAGAAAUGACCAGAAAAUGUGUCUGAUAGGUUGCGCUUUUGUCAAUUGUCAUUAGUGCAGAUAUGAUCACUGAUCGGAAUUGGAAUAUUCAUUGCGUUUAAACUUGGUGCUCCUUCACUUCGAUAUGAAUGUUCAUAUGGGCUUUUUUUGCAUAAUAUACAGCAGCCAAAAUCUUAUAGUCCUGCCAUCAAAGAACUGAAAA
RNA transcript from Ipomoea triloba (trilobed morning glory), 2138 nucleotides. It is a transcript of the gene named ACT domain-containing protein ACR10, with no coding region annotated. The transcript has 7 exons. NCBI's taxonomy places the organism in Eukaryota, Viridiplantae, Streptophyta, Magnoliopsida, Solanales, Convolvulaceae. The record is from RefSeq and is a predicted model, not a curated record.